RNAcentral lists this ribosomal RNA (328 nucleotides) under uncultured Bacteroidota bacterium. RNAcentral's name for it is "bacterial SSU rRNA". It matches the Rfam family "Bacterial small subunit ribosomal RNA", at positions 28 to 351 of the family's 1533-position model. Lineage: Bacteria; Pseudomonadati; Bacteroidota. The record is from RNAcentral.
GAUGAACGCUAGCGGGAGGCUUAACACAUGCAAGUCGAGGGGCAGCACGAGGUAGCAAUACUUUGGUGGCGACCGGCGCACGGGUGAGUAACGCGUAUGCAACCUACCCUGUACAGGGGGAUAACCCGGAGAAAUUCGGACUAAUACCCCAUAAUUUUAUUAAAGGGCAUCCUUUGAUAAUUAAAGUUCCGGCGGUACAGGAUGGGCAUGCGUAACAUUAGCUAGUUGGUAGGGUAACGGCCUACCAAGGCUACGAUGUUUAGGGGUCCUGAGAGGGUGAUCCCCCACACUGGUACUGAGACACGGACCAGACUCCUACGGGAGGCAG